CCUCGAGGAUGGAAUCAGGAAGGACUUAUCCUGCUAUGAUGAUGAGCUCAACGGUGGGAGCAGCACCUGCGAGGAUUUGGGAGAGAUGGAAAUAACUUUGAUUGACCUUGGGCUUUCUUUUUUGAUUGAUCAAUAAGGCUUUCUUCAGGAGCUUAUGGAGGAGAAAGGGCUAAUGGACUUCAGUGGUGUGAACCACUGGAGUGCCGUAGCCCAUGAGGGGCAGUCAGACACUGCACUUGGACAGAGAGCCCAAGACAGGGGUCAAAUGCGGUAGUCUGUGGGCUUGCCCCGGGAGUGAACCACACGCUCCUCUUCCAGGAGUCUAAGCACGGGCCCACCCUCUAGAUAGACUAGAGGUGCCAUUGGCAACAGGAGAUGUCCUUACAUUUCAGCAAACAGGCAGGAGUCUUUCCUGGGAUCUCUAAGUGGCAGGAUGCAUCCAGGGAAACUGAUCUGUCUGAACGCUGUAAAGAUUUUUGGGGUGCUGCCUUUGUGAAGGGCAAAUGGAGAAUAUGGAUAAUGCUACUCUUGCAAGUGACUUUUGGCCACCACAUCCCUCCUCUGCAACCCAAGAGGUACCUGGAAUUGGAUUCAUCAUUCACAACAGCAGGGAUCACAAUGGGGAACACAUGCUUCUGGCCAGCUGUAUCUGUGAGGGGCACAUACUUGGAGCCUUGCUACGAAAUCAUGGGAAUGUAAGAAGGUGGAACCAGGUCUAUGGCGUAUUCUGAUAUGGACCACCGGGAUGAUAAUCGAGCACCAACAGUCCUGACCAUCCUGAUGGGCUCUUGGCUUCCAGAGUGACUUGCCAGCCUCACCGGCAUCAGAUCCAGUGCCAGGGCCCAGAUGGAGUGUGACUGGUGUCAUAGCACAUGGGCCUUGGGCAGCAACUAACUGCUCCACCGAGGACCCAACUCAGCUCCAUUGAGAUCUCCACCCUGGAGACGUCCCCUCCUCUGCCACACACUUCACCCUAACGGGAACACAAGGCAUCACAACGCACCUCCUGACAGGCGGUCUGUUCCUGGUGACUUUGAGGGACCACUUUGUCCUCCUUGACUUGCAGACACUGCAGUUCAGGGUCUGCAGCAUUUCCACAUACGGGCCACCGGGAUGAUAAUCGAGCACCAACAGUCCUGACCAUCCUGAUGGGCUCUUGGCUUCCAGAGUGACUUGCCAGCCUCACCGGCAUCGGAUCCAGUGCCAGGGCCCAGAUGGAGUGUGACUGGUGUCAUAGCACAUGGGCCUUGGGCAGCAACUAACUGCUCCACCGAGGACCCGACUCAGCUCCAUUGAGAUCUCCACCCUGGAGACGUCCCCUCCUCUGCCACACACUUCACCCUAACGGGAACACAAGGCGUCACAACGCACCUCCUGACAGGCGGUCUGUUCCUGGUGACUUUGAGGGACCACUUUGUCCUCCUUGACUUGCAGACGCUGCAGUUCAGGUAAGGCAGGCCGCCGAAUGAGGGGAGGCCUAAGCUGAUCAAUGACACCGGUAGCAGACAUGGUACAUUUUCUCCAGCAAGCCAGAGCAAAACAUUACUUUGAUCAAACUCUGUGUGCCCACACAUGUCCUGGCAUACUAGGCCUGGGUUUUCAUCUUCGCUGGCAUUUUUCUUUAUGUUUGUGGUGGGGGAUGAGAUCCUGUUUACAUGACUUCUCUUUCAUAAGGUUAAUAUUCCCAGAUAUGUAAGUCUGAUGAUUUAGAAGGCUGAUUUUCAUCUACAUUAAGUACAGUAUUGAAUGCUUCCUGUACUGACAGCCACUGGGCCUCAUCCUACUCUGGCUACAUCCACUAGACAUCCACUGGGUUGAGUUUGGUCUAUCGCGGUGCUGCUCUCAAUGGGGAGAGCCUCAGCCCCCCAGAGACAACUAUCACCUACCACUCCCAGCAGAGGCCUAACUGAGACACAGGCAGUAAAGGACCGUACAGGCAGACUGGCUCGGCUACACAGCGCAGCGUGCCCGUGACUCCAGCCAUACAAGCAUAUGUAGGCACCUGGCAUGGCAGGGAGGCCCACAGGCUGUGUGCGUGCAGGGGAUACAAUGGUGGCGGGUCUCCAUGUGGGAACAGCUGCAAGGCUGCUGCGUCCUGCUGUAUUCAUCAAUGACCUCUACUCCUGGAGCAUGGGAGCAGCUCACGCAGGUGGAGGUAGGUGAGUAUUGUUGCUGUGGUACAAUCGUGGAGCAGAGGCACAGUGAACUUAUGCCGCUAGUACAAGGAUACUAAGGAAAUCCAUGGAAGACCCACAAAUUAACUCGGGUCUCAAUCCAGUGCCCCAUAUGCGAGGCCAGCAUCUUCUCUCUUACACUGGAUGUGUGCUAAGGCCACCAGCAAGCCCUGGAUGUCUUCUCCCAAGGAACGAUCCCUUGUUUCACUCCCAAGUGGAUCAUUAGUCCGCCUCUUCUCCUGUGAGCUUCUCCACAAGGAUCGGCAGAUGACACCCUGGCGGAAGACACUAGAAACUACCCUGAUCCAGGUUUCAACACAUGCAUGCUGUGGCAGUGGCCACUGCAGUGCCCCCUUGCUGCUAUCCAGCCAGGACUGGUUUUUGUACAGCCACGUGUCACUGUGGGGUGCCUUCGGAGGAGGAACCCAGCUGACCGUCCUCGGACAGCCGAAGGCCUCUCCUACCGUCCACCUCUUCCCCCCCUCCUCAGAAGAGGUCAGCAGCAAGAGCAAGGCCACGCUGGUGUGUCUGAUGGACAGCUUUUACCCCAGCCCGGUCCAGGUCACCUGGAAAGCUGAUGGCACCACCAUGUCCAGUGGAGUGGAGACCACCAAGCCAGCCAAACAGAGCGACAACAAGUACAUGGCCAGCAGCUACCUGUCGCUGAGCGCCUCCGACUGGAAGAGCCACGAGACCUACACCUGUCAGGUGACGCACGACGGGAAGAGCAUCGAGAAGACCCUGAAGAGAUCGGAGUGCUCUUAGCCCGCAGCCCCGGAGGGCUCGGCCAGAUCCUGUCCCAGUCAGUAGAGAGCUGGGAUCCCUGAGGAGUUGGGAUCCUUCUGUAGUAUCUCCCUAAUGUUGAUUUCCAGCAACUGUAUUUCUUAUUUCAUGUGGAGAUCUUAGCCAAUCCCUGUCAUUGUUCCCACGUAUCCAUCCCCUAGCCUCACCUCUCUGCAUUCCCUGCACAUGCCAUUCCUGUUUUAGUCUCUCAUGCAGCCUUGGUAUAUUAAUAAAUCAGAAACAUUCAACUCUCA
Non-coding RNA from Alligator mississippiensis (American alligator), 3211 nucleotides. The record is from the annotation of a RefSeq genome assembly. NCBI's taxonomy places the organism in Eukaryota, Metazoa, Chordata, Crocodylia, Alligatoridae.